AGUUGAUCCUGGCUCAGGAUGAACGCUGGCGGCGUGCCUAACACAUGCAAGUCGAACGGAAGGUAAGCGCUUCGGAGACUUCGGUCAAUGUUGCUUAUCUUAGUGGCGGACGGGUGAGUAACGCGUGGAUAACCUGCCUCACACAGGGGGAUAACAGUUAGAAAUGACUGCUAAUACCGCAUAAGCGCACAGUCUCGCAUGGGACAGUGUGAAAAACCGAGGUGGUGUGAGAUGGAUCCGCGUCUGAUUAGCCAGUUGGCGGGGUAACGGCCCACCAAAGCGACGAUCAGUAGCCGGCCUGAGAGGGUGAACGGCCACAUUGGGACUGAGACACGGCCCAGACUCCUACGGGAGGCAGCAGUGGGGGAUAUUGCACAAUGGGCGGAAGCCUGAUGCAGCAACGCCGCGUGAGGGAAGACGGUUUUCGGAUUGUAAACCUCUGUCUUUGGUGAAGAAGAAAGUGACGGUAGCCGAGGAGGAAGCCACGGCUAACUACGUGCCAGCCGCUGC
This 510-nucleotide ribosomal RNA is filed under the name uncultured bacterium. RNAcentral's name for it is "bacterial SSU rRNA". It matches the Rfam family "Bacterial small subunit ribosomal RNA", at positions 10 to 518 of the family's 1533-position model. The record is from RNAcentral.